UUCACAAUUGCAUGAGAAGAGAUCAAUUUAUAUGUAUGGCUCAUACACAUCUCAAAAGGAGAAAUCAAGAGGGACUUAGGUAUGGCCUACCACUACUAUGAAGCCUUUACUGAAUUCGCUGGUUCCUGAGGUUUCUUCUCAAGCUUCUGUAGAAGCUAUCCUCUGCACCACAACAUCAGAUCCUGAAUCAUGUGCUAUCAAUACUACUGGAUUUUCUGUUUUUCUGUGCCUGCUUUUCUUUCCUGUGUAGGUGGACAGAAAUGCACAUGGGUUGCAGUAUCUAGGGAAAUGCCAACUGAGGGUUCUUCAGGCCUAUUACAGACUAACAUAACUUUGAAGAGCAUAGUGAAUUCCAAUAUCUAAUCUUCAUCUUUGCAAGACCAAGAAUUCACUCUUGUCUGAGUCCUAGAAAUGAUUAUUGAUUCGAACAUUAAUUAUAUUUUCCUAACGUUUGAGUCGUCUCAAUGUUAAGUGGAGACAAUCUGGACAAAACAGAAGCUUUCUGCUCCACCUACUUGUAAGGCAAUGAGGGCAAUCACUCAACAGAAUUCCUCCUAAGAGGAACCCUGAGAGUGUUUGGAAGAAAUAAAUACUAUGCAGAAUGGAUGGUGACCAUCAAGAAAAAACUUCAGCGGAAAAAGAUGGCUCCCAGAUUUCUUUCUCAAGGAAACCAGAGCUCCAGGAGAAUGUUUUGUUUGACUGAGUACUUUGCUGGGCCAGAAGAUGAAAAAUUGGGACCAGGCAUGGUGGCUCACUCCUGUAAUCCCAGCACUUUGGGAGGCUGAGGCAGGCGGAUCAUGAGGUCAGGAGAUCGAGACCAUCCUGGCUAACACGGUAAAACCGUGUUUCUACUAAAAAUACAAAAAAUUAGCCAGGCGUGGUGGCGGCGGGCACCUAUAGUCCCAGCUACUCAGGAGGCUGAGGCAGGAGAAUGGCGUGAACCUGGGAGGCAGAGCUUGCAGUGAGCAGAGAUCGCACCACUGCACUCCAGCCUGGGCGACAGAGUGAGACUACAUCUCAAAAAAUAAUAAUAAUAAAAUAAAAUUGGAAGUCAGAGUCAAGGUAGAGCUAAACUGUAUUAGGCCGUUACAGUGCACAACUCCAGGUGCCGUCACUGGCAUUAAAGCCAGGAAGCAAUUGUGGAAAAGGGGAAUGUCUAAUGGUACCUAUCUCUAUGAGGUAAUAUAAGAUCUCUAUUUUUCUGGCAUACGCUUUCAGUAAUUUUAUCAUGUUUGAUAAUUCUUUUGUGACACUGGAUUGAUUUUGGGUGAUAGAAUGUUAAAAAAGGGCUGAGUUAUGAAUCUGAGUUACCACAGGUGAACGCAGGUACUUUUCCUGCAGCUUACCAGCUGAAAGAAAAGAGAAUAUUUGGGUUUCAUAUGAUUAUGGGAUACUGAUGUCUAAUUUGGGGGGGUUGUUAAGAUACUUAAACAAAAAGAAAUUAUAAACUGUAUGGAAAUUGUAGAAGCUCGACGUGUGUUUACUAUCUUCUUACAGGAAAGCCGAGUGAUACGGACUACUCAUAAGAAACUAAACAAGAUCAUCAAGUUGGUAACAAUGAGGGGUG
Molecule: long non-coding RNA, 1567 nt
Filed under: Homo sapiens (human)
Lineage: Eukaryota; Metazoa; Chordata; Mammalia; Primates; Hominidae
Description: HSALNT0232288
Source: RNAcentral